Molecule: ribosomal RNA, 300 nt
Filed under: Triticum aestivum (bread wheat)
Lineage: Eukaryota; Viridiplantae; Streptophyta; Magnoliopsida; Poales; Poaceae
Description: partial small subunit ribosomal RNA
Source: RNAcentral
AUGAAUGUCAUCAUGACACCAUCCAUGAAGAAUAGGAACCCCAGAUCAAAUUCUUCAUAUGGAUCAAAAUCUUCAUAUGGAUCCAAGUCCUCAUAUGGACCAAAUUCUUCAUAUGGAUCAAAUUCCUCACGUGGAUCAAAAUCCUCAUAUGAACAUCAUCGUGCUAACACCUCUGUUUCGCAAGGAAAGUCUAAAUGCUAUGAAUAUGAGCAUUAUUCUUCAAACCAUUAUGUUCAUAAGUCCUCGAAGAAUUUCUCUGCUUAUUCAUAUGCUUACCCUAACCACUCUUCUGUGAAAUGA